GGUAUUUUCGGGUAGAGGAAUUUA
Molecule: non-coding RNA, 24 nt
Filed under: Arabidopsis thaliana (thale cress)
Lineage: Eukaryota; Viridiplantae; Streptophyta; Magnoliopsida; Brassicales; Brassicaceae
Source: RNAcentral